CGCAAUAAAUAGAGGUGAUCUAAUUGCGAAAAAUUAAGCGACGAGUAUUUCGGAUUUUUCGUUUUCCGAAUCAUAUUAGAACGUUUUGAUAUGCGGGGGUUUAGUCAUCCGCGAAAUUCUUUCGCUCUAUACAGCGACGGAUCGCGUCUUACGGUGUAAAAACACGUGACAGAACAUUUGAUUUUUAUUUAUGUAUUUUGUUUGAUUGUUUGAAUUUAUUGGAUAAGGUCGGGAAGCUUUUUAUGGGAUUUAAGGAUGAUUUAAGGUUUCAGACAUUAACAACAAUAACAACCACGAGUGCAAUACCGGAUAUCUCGACAUUCAAAUAAAAACGGAAAGAAUAUUGAGGACAACCAAUACAAUGAGAGCCUGAUAUCAAACUUCCGGAAACUUGAUCGUAUCAAAAUUGUAACUUAAAAUAAAAAUACUACUUAUAAUCAAUAGUACUUUUUAUUAAAAAACCUAAAAUGUAUGCCUAAAUUUCUGAAAUGAUUUAAUUAAGUGUUCAAGUUAGGAAAUUUUUUGCAGGUAAACAGUAGCUGGGAAAACGAUGGAUUUUAGGGAAGUUUGUAUUCAAAAUUAGGAAUUUGUUGUAAACGUUGUUCAACUAGGAUAAAUUUUAUAUUUGCAAUAAAAUUAGUGCUGAAAAAAUGAUGGAAAUUCCGGGUAAUUCUUGCCAAAACGUAUUAAAUGUACGUGAAAACCUUUUUCUGAAAAAUUGUGUCAUUUUUAUUUAAAUUCUCGAAAAUAUCAAAAAUCUUAAACGAAUUACAUCAAAGUUGAAUUCCAUCAAUUUUUUGUUUCAAAAUAUAAACUGAUUUUCAUUAAAUUUGUUACAUAAUUAGAACAUAGCUUGAACUAGGAAUAGUGGUGAAAUUAUGGGUAAUUUUUAUCAAAAAUCACGAUUUUCAAGGGUCAACAAUACAUAAUAUGAGAUAAGGAACAUCUUGUGUUUAUGAUAAGAUAUACAAUUAAGAAAAAUUUAAUUAAAAUUUUUAGGCUAAAUAUAGCUGCAGAAA
Molecule: long non-coding RNA, 1019 nt
Filed under: Anthonomus grandis grandis
Lineage: Eukaryota; Metazoa; Arthropoda; Insecta; Coleoptera; Curculionidae
Description: uncharacterized LOC126733757
Source: RNAcentral